This 74-nucleotide transfer RNA is filed under the name Triticum aestivum (bread wheat). It matches the Rfam family "tRNA". From Rfam's summary of the family: Transfer RNA (tRNA) molecules are approximately 80 nucleotides in length. Their secondary structure includes four short double-helical elements and three loops (D, anti-codon, and T loops). The record is from Rfam by way of RNAcentral. Lineage: Eukaryota; Viridiplantae; Streptophyta; Magnoliopsida; Poales; Poaceae.
AGCGGGGUAGAGGAAUUGGUCAACUCAUCAGGCUCAUGACCUGACGACUGCAGGUUCGAAUCCUGUCCCCGCCU